GACGAACGCUGGCGGCGUGCUUAACACAUGCAAGUCGAGCGGUAAGGCCCUUUCGGGGGUACACGAGCGGCGAACGGGUGAGUAACACGUGGGUGACCUGCCCUUAGCUCUGGGAUAAGCCUGGGAAACUGGGUCUAAUACCGGAUAUGACUCCAUGACGCAUGUUGUGGGGUGGAAAGCCUUGUGCGGCUAGGGAUGGCCCGCGGCCUAUCAGCUUGUUGGUGGGGUGAUGGCCUACCAAGGCGACGACGGUAGCCGGCCUGAGAGGGCGACCGGCCACACUGGGACUGAGACACGGCCCAGACUCCUACGGGAGGCAGCAGUGGGGAAUCUUGCGCAAUGGGCGAAAGCCUGACGCAGCGACGCCGCGUGAGGGAUGACGG
RNAcentral lists this ribosomal RNA (383 nucleotides) under uncultured bacterium. Its description in RNAcentral is "bacterial SSU rRNA". It matches the Rfam family "Bacterial small subunit ribosomal RNA", at positions 28 to 414 of the family's 1533-position model. The record is from RNAcentral.